UUGCAAUGAUGAUUGGAUUAAAUUUUCAGUUCUGCUACUGAAAACACAAUGUCGACAACUCAUACCAAGCUUACCAUUGACUGAUAU
Hortaea werneckii EXF-2000 is the source of this 87-nucleotide non-coding RNA. Lineage: Eukaryota; Fungi; Ascomycota; Dothideomycetes; Mycosphaerellales; Teratosphaeriaceae. The record is from Rfam.